Podarcis lilfordi (Lilford's wall lizard) is the source of this 1410-nucleotide non-coding RNA. The record is from the annotation of a GenBank genome assembly. Lineage: Eukaryota; Metazoa; Chordata; Lepidosauria; Squamata; Lacertidae.
GGUCACAUGGUGGAGGACAGAGCAGGGCCAGCCGAGCCAUUAGGCAGUGUAAGAUAGCAUCCCCGUGGCACCCCUCUGCUGCCUGCAUCAGUGCCAGUUUCAAGAAAGAGCUUGACAAAAUUGCAUAAGAUCUUGUGGAGUGUAUGAGAUCUCCCUGAAAUCAGCGAGAUCUCACACAAAAUCAUCAUCGCUUCUCUGCCGGCGGCAGCAGGACUGGCAGUGAAGGCAGCAGCAUACCAGGGGGGGCUGUCCCAGGAAAUAGAUGUCUUGGGCUUUAUCCAAGAUACAUGGAACGAUGGCUCUGUUCGUUGUUUCUUGCUAUUUUUUGUUAGAACAGGGCCUCUCUAUCUGUCCCCAAAGACCAUCACAUCCCUUCCUUGGCCACAACCCUCACCAGCCUGCUUUGCAUUCUCCUUGAGUGUUGUUGCCCGGCUGGAUUGUGACCUUGAACUCUAAUAAUGCCUCCUGGUAAAAUGUACAUGUGUAGCUCUGCCACUUCUGCCUCUGGUCCCAGCCACCGUUGGCUUGUGCCCCUCAAUAGGUUUUCUGGGAAUAGAUGGGGCCCAGUGCAGUCAAUGGACUAGGGCAGGCUUCCUCAAACUCGGCCCUCCAGAUGUUUUGAGACUACAAUUCCCAUCAUCUCUGACCACUGGUCCUGCUAGCUAGGGAUCAUGGGGGUUGUAGGCCAAAAACAUCUGGAGGGCUGAGUUUGAGGAAGCCUGGCCUAGGGAGACUAGGCUAGUUCCCUAAAUGUUCCUGGUAAAUUGGAGUAUUCAAGUAUUAAAGCCUGGCACCUUCUUCCCAAAGCCCGGGAAACUUCUGCUCAGCUUACGGGGAGAGGAACAAGGCUUACACACAUGAUGUCUCUCCCCGAUCGCCCUUGCAAGCUGGCGCCUCUGACCCUAACUGUUCCCCUACAAAAAAAAUCACCGCAUGCCACUGAUGUGGCCCUUGAGCUGAAAAGGUUCCCUUUCCCAUAAUGAGACCCUCAGAGGAGAGCAGGGGCAAUCUAACCCAAGGACCACUUCACACGGUACAUUUUUCCAUGGCUAUCUACAAAAGGUUUUAAACAGGCCCUCUACUUCUGUGUAUAUCCAGUUGAGCUACAUCUGACUGGUCAAAAUAAAUUCAGUUUUGCCAUUUACAGCAAAUGAUCUGUCUGAAGUCAGUGAGAUUAUUUUUUUUUACUGGUAUCACUGGAAAGCUUUCCCUUCACAGGCCUGUUCUGAGGACACUUUAAACCUCAGCCUACGGACAAGUAUGGAAUGGUUCCCUUCUGCUGUGAAGACCUGCCUGUAAAAAAAUAGCUUUGGAUGGUGAAAAAAUAUAAUGUAUUCAUUGGGAAGGUUGAAGAUGCUGCAAACGAUGAGCCAACUGCAUCCUGCAGAACAACAAAGGACAUAAAAAGGG